This 253-nucleotide ribosomal RNA is filed under the name uncultured bacterium. RNAcentral's name for it is "partial 16S ribosomal RNA". It matches the Rfam family "Bacterial small subunit ribosomal RNA", at positions 524 to 777 of the family's 1533-position model. The record is from RNAcentral.
CACGUAGGGCGCAAGCGUUGUCCGGAAUUAUUGGGCGUAAAGAGCUCGUAGGCGGUCUGUUGCGUCCGCUGUGAAAACUCGGGGCUUAACCCCGAGCCUGCAGUGGAUACGGGCAGACUAGAGGUAGGUAGGGGAGAAUGGAAUUCCCGGUGUAGCGGUGAAAUGCGCAGAUAUCGGGAGGAACACCGGUGGCGAAAGCGGCUUCCUGGUCCAGCACCGACGUCAGGCACGAAAGCGUGGGGAGCAAACAGGG